Molecule: ribosomal RNA, 490 nt
Filed under: uncultured bacterium
Lineage: Bacteria
Description: partial 16S ribosomal RNA
Rfam family: Bacterial small subunit ribosomal RNA
Source: RNAcentral
AUUGAACGCUGGCGGCAGGCCUAACACAUGCAAGUCGAACGGUAACAGGAAACAGCUUGCUGUUUCGCUGACGAGUGGCGGACGGGUGAGUAAUGUCUGGGAAACUGCCUGAUGGAGGGGGAUAACUACUGGAAACGGUAGCUAAUACCGCAUAACGUCGCAAGACCAAAGAGGGGGACCUUCGGGCCUCUUGCCAUCGGAGGUGCCCAGAUGGCAUUAGCUAGUAGGUGGGGUAGCGGCUCACCUAGGCGACCACCCCUAGCUGGUAUGAGAGGAUGACUAGCCACACUGGAACUGAGACACGGUCCAGACUCCUACGGGAGGAAGCAGUGGGGAAUAUUGCACAAUGGGCGCAAGCCUGAUGCAGCCAUGCCGCGUGUAUGAAGAAGGCCUUCGGGUUGUAAAGUACUUUCAGCGGGGAGGAAGGGAGUAAAGUUAAUACCUUUACUCAUUGACGUUACCCGCAGAAGAAGCACCGGCUAACUCCGUG